RNAcentral lists this ribosomal RNA (373 nucleotides) under uncultured organism. RNAcentral describes it as "partial 16S ribosomal RNA". It matches the Rfam family "Bacterial small subunit ribosomal RNA", at positions 527 to 896 of the family's 1533-position model. The record is from RNAcentral.
GUAGGUGGCAAGCGUUGUCCGGGAUUAUUGGGCGUAAAGCGCGCGCAGGCGGUUCUUUAAGUCUGAUGUGAAAGCCACGGCUCAACCGUGGAGGGUCAUUGGAAACUGGAGAACUUGAGUACAGAAGAGGAAAGCGGAAUUCCACGUGUAGCGGUGAAAUGCGUAGAGAUGUGGAGGAACACCAGUGGCGAAGGCGGCUUUCUGGUCUGUAACUGACGCUGAGGCGCGAAAGCGUGGGGAGCAAACAGGAUUAGAUACCCUGGUAGUCCACGCCGUAAACGAUGAGUGCUAAGUGUUAGGGGGGUUUUCCGCCCCCCUUAGUGCUGCAGCUAACGCAUUAAGCACUCCGCCUGGGAGUACGGCCGCAAGGCUG